AUUGAACGCUGGCGGCAGGCUUAACACAUGCCAGUCGAGCGGAUGAAGGGUGCUUGCUCCUGGAUUCAGCGGCGGACGGGUGAGUAAUGCAUAGGAAUCUGCUUGGUAGUGGGGGAUAACGUCCGGAGACGGGCGCUAAUACUGCAUACGUCCUGAGGGAGAAAGUGGGGGAUCUUCGGACCUCACGCUAUCAGAUGAGCCUAGGUCGGAUUAGCUAGUUGGUGGGGUAAAGGCCUACCAAGGCGACGAUCCGUAACUGGCCUGAGAGGAUGAUCAGUCACACUGGAACUGAGACACGGUCCAGACUCCUACGGGAGGCAGCAGUGGGGAAUAUUGGACAAUGGGCGAAAGCCUGAUCCAGCCAUGCCGCGUGUGUGAAGAAGGUCUUCGGAUUGUAAAGCACUUUAAGUUGGGAGAAAGGGCAGUAAGUUAAUACCUUGCUGUUUUGACGUUACCAACAGAAUAAGCACCGGCUAACUUCGUG
Molecule: ribosomal RNA, 484 nt
Filed under: uncultured bacterium
Lineage: Bacteria
Description: partial 16S ribosomal RNA
Rfam family: Bacterial small subunit ribosomal RNA
Source: RNAcentral